UACGUAGGGACCAAGCGUUGUUCGGAUUUACUGGGCGUAAAGGGCGCGUAGGCGGCAUGACAAGUCACUUGUGAAAUCUCCGGGCUUAACUCGGAACGGCCAAGUGAAACUGUCAAGCUAGAGUGCAGAAGGGGCAAUCGGAAUUCUUGGUGUAGCGGUGAGAUGCGUAGAUAUCAAGAGGAACACCUGAGGUGAAGACGGGUUGCUGGGCUGACACUGACGCUGAGGCGCGAAAGCCAGGGGAGCAAACGGG
This 253-nucleotide ribosomal RNA is filed under the name uncultured bacterium. RNAcentral's name for it is "partial 16S ribosomal RNA". It matches the Rfam family "Bacterial small subunit ribosomal RNA", at positions 524 to 776 of the family's 1533-position model. The record is from RNAcentral.